RNAcentral lists this long non-coding RNA (491 nucleotides) under Mytilus galloprovincialis (Mediterranean mussel). Lineage: Eukaryota; Metazoa; Mollusca; Bivalvia; Mytilida; Mytilidae. The record is from RNAcentral.
CAUUAAUGUUUGAAGGGUCUUAAGCUUAUUCAAACCAUAUAAGUCGGUAUGAAACACCAAAACGGAAUGAUAAUAACCGAUUACGUUUUGUAGUUUACAAAAUUCUGGACUGGUUCCUGUCAAACUACAACACUUUGUUCGACUGUAGUGGAAUACAAACAGAAACCAGUUAGUUUGUAAACUGGUUCCUGGCUGAUUACUACACAAUGCUCAUGCAUAAUGAUAACACAAGCACAUUCCAGUUUGUAUUGAAAUUAGUAAAUACGAAACCAAGCGCGGUAGGCAGAGAAAUCAGGUCGGCAGUUAUGGAACAAUGACUGCGUCAUUUUCCAAAAAAACUGCCCCAACCUGGAUAACCAAAUCGCCCCACUUGUGAAAUGUGUUAUAUCCCUUAAUAUUACUCCUGCCAACUUGCCCCACCUAAUAGAAAACGAUAAUAUCUAGAUAAAUAUAUUAUUAACCAGGAAGAAUUUACUAAUGCCAACUCGCCC